RNAcentral lists this small RNA (697 nucleotides) under Pan troglodytes (chimpanzee). Its description in RNAcentral is "retained intron". Lineage: Eukaryota; Metazoa; Chordata; Mammalia; Primates; Hominidae. The record is from RNAcentral.
UCUGGGGGUACUUGGGGGGGCGGGGGCAGGUCUGAUGAGUAACCCCUCCCCCCAGGUUCCAGAGGAAGAAGCCUCCACAUCUGUCUGCCGGCCCAAGAGUUCCAUGGCCUCCACUUCCCGCCGCCAACGCCGAGAACGUCGCUUUCGUCGUUACUUGUCUGCAGGACGGCUGGUCCGGGCCCAGGCCCUCCUCCAGCGACACCCAGGCCUCGAUGUAGAUGCUGGGCAGCCCCCACCACUGCACCGGGCCUGUGCCCGCCACGAUGCCCCUGCCCUGUGCCUGCUGCUUCGGCUCGGGGCUGACCCUGCCCACCAGGACCGCCAUGGGGACACGGCACUGCAUGCUGCUGCCCGCCAGGGCCCAGAUGCCUACACCGAUUUCUUCCUCCCGCUGCUAAGCCGCUGUCCCUCCGCCAUGGGAAUAAAGAAUAAGGAUGGGGAGACCCCUGGCCAAAUUUUGGGCUGGGGACCCCCCUGGGAUUCUGCUGAAGAGGAGGAAGAUGAUGCCUCCAAGGAGCGGGAAUGGAGACAGAAGCUCCAGGGUGAGCUGGAGGACGAGUGGCAGGAAGUCAUGGGGAGGUUUGAAGGUGAGAAGUCCACUGCUAUCCACAGCUGCCCUUCCCCACUGGCUGCUUUCCAUCUGCAUGAAUGCGUCACACUAGGCUUCUCUGCCCCCUCCUCUGUGCUUCCCUGCUUC